This 1554-nucleotide ribosomal RNA is filed under the name Triticum aestivum (bread wheat). RNAcentral's name for it is "partial small subunit ribosomal RNA". The record is from RNAcentral. Lineage: Eukaryota; Viridiplantae; Streptophyta; Magnoliopsida; Poales; Poaceae.
AUGACUCCAUUUGAGGAAUGGGAAAGGAAAAGGUUGAAACUCUCUUACCUAUGUACUUGGGGUUGUUUGGCGAAAGUCAAUAUACCAAUUCCCAAGAAGCGCAAGCUUGGACCAAAAACCGUGGAUUGUGUUCUUCUGGGCUAUGCUUUUCAUCGCAUCGGCUAUAGAUUUUUGAUAAUAAAAUCUGAGGUAUCCGACAUGCAUGUUGGUACGAUUAUGGAAUCAAAUGAUGCAACUUUCUUUGAGGACAUAUUUCCUAUGAAGGAUAUGUCGAGUUCAUCAAAUCAGGAGAUACCUACUCCAUCUAGUGAGGAAUUCACUAUAAUUCCUGAACCCACCAUUGCGAUGGAACACGUUGAGAAUCCUGUUGAGGGUAACAAUGGAACUCCUGUGAGGAGUAAGAGACAGAGGACUGCAAAGUCUUUUGGUGAUGGUUUCAUUGUGUACCUCGUGGAUGACACACCCAGGACUAUUUCAGAAGCCUAUGCAUCUCCUGAUGCUGACUACUGGAAGGAAGCUGUACGUAGCGAGAUGGAUUCCAUCUUAGCUAACGGUACCUGGGAGAUCACUGACCGUCCUUAUGGGUGCAAACCUGUAGGAUGUAAGUGGGUGUUCAAGAAGAAGCUUAGACCUGAUGGUACGAUUGAAAAGUACAAGGCACGGCUUGUGGCCAAGGGUUAUACCCAGAAAGAAGGUGAAGACUUCUUUGAUACUUACUCACCCGUGGCUAGACUGACCACAAUUCGGGUGCUACUAUCACUGGCUGCCUCACAUGGUCUUCUCGUUCAUCAAAUGGACGUUAAGACGGCUUUCCUCAAUGGAGAGUUGAAGGAGGAAAUUUACAUGGAUCAGCCAGAUGGUUUUGUAGUACCUGGUCAGGAAGGAAAGGUGUGCAAGUUAUUAAAGUCUUUAUAUGGCCUUAAACAAGCUCCUAAGGAGUGGCAUGAGAAGUUCGAAAGAACAUUAACUGCUGCCGGCUUUAUAGUAAACGAUGGUGACAAGUGCAUGUACUAUCUCUAUGGUGGGGGCGAAGGAGUUAUUCUUUGUCUGUAUGUCAACGACAUAUUGAUCUUUGGAACCAAACUUGAUUUAAUCAAGGAGGUUAAGGAUUUCUUAUCUCGCUGUUUUGAGAUGAAGGAUCUAGGAGUAGCUGAUGUUAUCUUAAACAUCAAGCUAUUGAGAGAUGAGAAUGGUGGGAUCACACUGCUUCAGUCUCAUUAUGUGGAAAAGGUCUUGAGUCGUUUUGGGUAUAGCGACUGCACGCCUUCUCCAACUCCAUAUGAUGCUAGUGUGUUUCUUCGAAAGAAUCGACGGAUUGCUAGAGAUCAACUGAGGUAUUCUCAGAUUAUUGGCUCGCUUAUGUAUUUGGCGAGUGCCACGAGGCCUGACAUCUCUUUUGCUGUGAGCAAGCUGAGUCGGUUUGUGUCAAAACCGGGAGAUGAUCAUUGGCAUGCGCUUGAGAGAGUUAUGCGCUAUUUGAAAGGCACCACGAGCUAUGGGAUUCACUACACCGGGUAUCCAAGGGUACUGGAGGGUUAUAGUGACUCAAACUAG